AUUGAACGCUGGCGGCAGGCCUAACACAUGCAAGUCGAACGGUAACAGGAAGCAGCUUGCUGCUUCGCUGACGAGUGGCGGACGGGUGAGUAAUGUCUGGGAAACUGCCUGAUGGAGGGGGAUAACUACUGGAAACGGUAGCUAAUACCGCAUAACGUCGCAAGACCAAAGAGGGGGACCUUAGGGCCUCUUGCCAUCGGAUGUGCCCAGAUGGGAUUAGCUAGUAGGUGGGGUAACGGCUCACCUAGGCGACGAUCCCUAGCUGGUCUGAGAGGAUGACCAGCCACACUGGAACUGAGACACGGUCCAGACUCCUACGGGAGGCAGCAGUGGGAAUAUUGCACAAUGGGCGCAAGCCUGAUGCAGCCAUGCCGCGUGUAUGAAGAAGGCCUUCGGGUUGUAAAGUACUUUCAGCGGGGAGGAAGGGAGUAAAGUUAAUACCUUUGCUCAUUGACGUUACCCGCAGAAGAAGCACCGGCUAACUCCGUG
Molecule: ribosomal RNA, 489 nt
Filed under: uncultured bacterium
Lineage: Bacteria
Description: partial 16S ribosomal RNA
Rfam family: Bacterial small subunit ribosomal RNA
Source: RNAcentral